UACGGAAGGCAGCAGGGGGAAGUAUUGGACAAUGGGCGAAAGCCUGAUCCAGCCAUGCCGCAUGAGUGAAGAAGGCCUUCGGGUUGUAAAGCUCUUUUAGUGAGAAAGAUAAUGACGGUACUCACAGAAGAAGUCCUGGCUAACUCCGUGCCAGCAGCCGCGGUAAUACGGAGAGGGCUAGCGUUAUUCGGAAUUAUUGGGCGUAAAGAGCGCGUAGGCUGAUUAGUAAGUUAAAAGUGAAAUCCCAAAGCUUAACUUUGGAAUUGCUUUUUAAAACUGCUAGUCUAGAGAUUUGAAAGAGGAUAGAGGAAUUCCUAGUGUAGAGGUGAAAUUCGUAAAUAUUAGGAGGAACACCAGUGGCGAAGGCGUCUAUCUGGUUCAAAUCUGACGCUGAGGCGCGAAGGGCGUGGGGAGCAAACAGGGAUUAGAUACC
RNAcentral lists this ribosomal RNA (433 nucleotides) under uncultured bacterium. Its description in RNAcentral is "bacterial SSU rRNA". It matches the Rfam family "Bacterial small subunit ribosomal RNA", at positions 340 to 786 of the family's 1533-position model. The record is from RNAcentral.